This is a non-coding RNA of Cottoperca gobio, 727 nucleotides long. NCBI's taxonomy places the organism in Eukaryota, Metazoa, Chordata, Actinopteri, Perciformes, Bovichtidae. The record is from the annotation of a RefSeq genome assembly.
UGAAUGGAGUUUGGUUCAGAGAGUUUGUGUUGAGGAGCUUCGUGUUGUGUGAAUGUUGGAGGAUUGAAAAUGAUCUUUGGAAGUGGAACCAGAUUAAACGUUGAACCCAUCGAGGAGUACGACCCGUCCUACUACAAGCUGUCAGAUGGACACACCUCGGUGUGCCUGGCCACCGGCUUCAGCAGAGCCAAAGCUGCAUAUCAUCAACAUCAGGAUGUCUUCAAAAAUCAGACUGAAGCUGUGCGGAUCACAGACGAGCUGCUGUACAACCAGGUGACGGUCCUGUCGACCGCAGAGGAGAUAGAGACGUGUGUGGAUGCUGAAGAACAAGCUUCUGCGUCGUGUGAAGACUCUCUGGAACCAGAUGCAAAGAUGAACCUGCUGUCUCUCACCAUCCUGGGCCUCAGGCUGCUCUUCAUCAAGACCAUCGUCUUCAACGUGCUGAUGACUCUGCAGCUGUGGAUCAGUCGCUGACCGUAGGACCUCUGCAGAACUUCCCCUCAACAAAUGGAUCCUUUGAUCCACGAAGGACUUUGACGCCUUUCUUUGAGCGUCUGUUUCGCGGACAGCGACAAGUACAAAUACGUGUUGAUGUGUUCGUAGCGGCGACGGACACGGUGCAUCGUGUACAACUUGUUGUUGCUCUUCAUGUAAAUAUCACGUUUACCUUUAACAGUGAAAGUUUCGGUGAGACUUCCUGUUGUUGAAAUAAAGACUGAAACCUGAA